Molecule: transfer RNA, 74 nt
Filed under: Candidatus Omnitrophota bacterium
Lineage: Bacteria; Pseudomonadati; Candidatus Omnitrophota
Description: tRNA-Arg
Rfam family: tRNA
About the family: Transfer RNA (tRNA) molecules are approximately 80 nucleotides in length. Their secondary structure includes four short double-helical elements and three loops (D, anti-codon, and T loops).
Source: RNAcentral
GCGCCUGUAGCUCAGUUGGAUAGAGCACCUCACUCCUAACGAGGGGGUCGGCCGUUCGAAUCGGCCCAGGCGCG